UGUGGUGAGCCGAGAUCGCACCAUUGCACUAUUCCAGCCCGGGCAGCAAGAGCGAGACUCCAUCUCCAAAAAAAAAAGAAUGAUGUAGCUAUGCAGGAUGUCUUCUUGUGUUUGAUACAUAAAGUGUGGAUAUGGAGCUAGAGCAGACAUGAGUUAUGACUGUACUUGAAGAUGAAACUCUGUGCAGUAUGAAGGGUUUCAAAACCGUGUUGGACAAACAUAAUUUCUGCCCACUUUGGAGACAUUUUAGACCUACAGGAUCAACGAUUUGUUUGAUUCUGUUGGGUUCUCUUUGCCAUCAAAAUAAAUUUCAGUCUCAUAAUCUGUCUCUAGUCUCCCUCACCACCUCCUUCUUCCAUGCUUCAGUUCAUUUGAAUACAUAUUAAGUACCCACCUCGCCCACCAUCACAGUGCUGCUCACGUGGAAUUUUCAUAUUCUAACGUCCUUUUGUGUUCUCGCCUCCAGGUUCUCUCUCACAUUCCCUCUUCAUUAUCCAAACUCCUAUAUCUCUCUAGGAACCACCUCUAUGUUACAUCCGUAAACUGUCCCUGGCGCCCUCUCUCUAUUACCUCUUGGACAUAACUAAUUGUUCUUUGUGCUGUAAUCCCAUUUCAUACAUCUAACCUUUAUUAGCAUUUAUUACAUCUUACAAUCAGACAGACAAAGUGAGGUACCCCCACUGAGUUACUUUCUCAUAGAGAUUAGGGAAUGAAUCUUAGUCAUUUCUGUGAACCCAUGGCACUGUUGUCAGUGCUUGAGCUUUUUUUUGUCAGUGCUUAAGCAAUUCGUUUAUAUUACAUGAAUGAAUUCCUAGCUGAAGAAUGGCAGUCCAGUUUUACCCUGCAUAGCAGCUCAGCUAUUGGUAAUGCCUGUCUGUGUUGGAGAUGAUUCAGAGCGGUGUCUGGGUUAGUGGGAAGUGCAAUGAUUGCUAGGUGCAGGGUGUAACAAAAUGCGGACUAGGUAUUUUCCACCCCAUGCUGAAUUAAUCAGCUAAGGCUUUAUGAAAUAUGAAUCUAAACUGGCUCAGGCAUUAUGUGCUGAAUGAGAAACAGAAGGGAGAGAAUUUUUCUGUUAGAUGCUGUUGUAUUUGGCAUGUCUGUGGUAACCCGUGUUUGGGGGAGAAUCAGAGGUUGAAUAGGGAUGUCCAGGUGUCAAGUCUGAUGGGCUGCAAAUGAGGCCUGGUAAAGAAUGAUGAGACCCUCUGACAGCAAAUCCUGUGUUUAGCUCCCAUUGGGCAGUGUCUUGACCCUUUUUAGCUUAAUCCUAUCCUCCCCUUUAGAGUUUCUCUUCCAACCCUACGGAAACAAGCACCAUCCUAUAAAUAGGAAGCCUUUCUUGGGCUAGCCAGGGCUUUCAGCAUAUUCUAGGAUUUUCCCCUAUUUGGGGCCCUAACACUGCCACACAGAAGCUGCACUGUGGUCUGUCCCAUACCUUUCUAUUAAUGAAUCAUACUGAACAUAUUUAAAUUCCAGAGUCUGCUUUUUUUUUUCUCCUGACAAGUUUAAUGCCAAGAAAAAUGGACAAGUAUUCAGGUAUUUUCUAGAGGAAAAAGAAAGAGUCCAGGUGAAAGUAUCACAUUGAUUAUUUGAGUGCAAGUGGUUUAGAGAGCUGCCUAGAGGGGGAAAGCUGAAGAAUUUUAAGUUGUCAAGUUACUAGAGAAGACUUUAAGAAACAGACUAAGGUGUCUCAUAUUCUGAUAUAGUAAGAACUAUCCUAAUAUUUUUACAUAAUUUUCAGCAGAAAGAGUGUAUCUUUCUUUUGUAAUUAAAUUUUCUUGUUUGUUUUUGAGACAUAGUCUCGCUCUGUCGCCCAGGCUGGAGUACAGUGGUGCAAUCUCCACUCACUGCAAGCUCUGCCUCCCAGGUUCACGCCAUUCUCCUGCCUCAUCCUUCCGAGUAGCUGGGACUACAGGCACCCGCCGCCACACCCAGCUAAUUUUUUGUAUUUUUAGUAGAGACGGGGUUUCACUGGGUUAACCAGGAUGAUCUCGAUCUCCUGACCUCGUGAUCCGCCCGCCUCGGCCUCCCAAAGUGCUGGGAUUAUAGGCGUGAACCACCACGCCUGGCUGUAAUUAAAUUUUUAAAUUAUAUAUACAUACUUUUUUUUCUCUGAUGAGCAGUUUAUUUCUGGCAUUGGCCCUUUCUGAAUUGUAGUAUCCUCUUUUUCCUCUUUCCCUCUCCACUGUACUUUUAAACUUUACAUGUGGUCGAUGAUGCACACCUUUAAUCCCAACACUCUGAGAGGCCAAGGUGGAAGGAUGGCUUGAACCCAAGAGUUCAAGACGAGCCUGGGCAAGAUGGCAGGAUCCUGUCUCUAUAAAAAAAAAAUCUUAAAAAUUAGCCAGGCAUAGUAGUGUGCACCUGUAGUCCCAGCUACUUAGUAGGCUGAGGCAGAAGGAUCCCUUGAGCCCAGUAGUUUGAGGAUAUAGUGAGCUGCAAUCAUACCACUGCUCUCCAGCCUGGGCAACAGAGCAAGACACCAUCUCUUUAAAAAAAAAAAAAAAAAAAAAAACUUCACAUGUGGAAGCGUGGUCUGAGGAAAGCCUACCCUUUCUACCUGCUGGGGGUUGGCCAGAUUUGACAGGCCACCUCGCCAAUUAGCCCCAAGUCAACAAGCAGCUCUGUUACAUAAGGCUCCUAGUUCCUGCCAAAUGUUGCCAUGCCAGAGUAAGGAGAGGGCAAGGAACUCCUCCAAAUUUAGCAUCUAAUUGGCAGCCAUCAAGAGUGAGGCCUUGAAGUGUAAACCCUUGGAGAUCUGAGAUUCUGUCUUUUAUGUGCCUGGGAAAUGUAUCCUCAGAAAACUGCUUUUCAGCUUGGCCUGAAUUUGGCAAAUCUCUCCUUUCUACUAACUAAUAACUUACAGAUCACCUCCUCUUAUUCAAACUUGAAACUAUAUAUAGUCCUGUAGACUACAGGAAGGCUGGCCAGUCUCUUGGCCAAGAGUGAUUUAUUCAGCCCAUUGACUUCAUGAGAUUCUGUUUUGAUGAUGAGUAUACUUGUAAUAACAAUAGCUAUAAUUAAUUCUGUGUGCCAGGCACUUUGCGUAUAUUACCUCAUUAUUUUUCUCAACAAAAUUAUGAGAUCAAUAUUUUCUCCAUCACUGUAACUAAGAAGCUUAGAGAAGUUAAAUGAUCUGCAAUUAUUUAACUUCUCUGAGCUAAGCUUACUUAGCUAGUAAAUAGCUGCACUGAGACUUGAACCCCAGUCUUUCUGACUCCAGAGCUCAUACUCUUUUACUGUGCCACACUGCCAAUAAUUGAAUUAAUGAGGACCACCUUUUUGUGCGUGACAGGAAAGAAGACAGUAGGAAGGGUAUGAGUAUCAGAGCCAAGGAGUCUAGACUGAUGGAGUUCCUGCUUCUCCUCCAUCUUGCUCAGAGCUUAGUUUCUAUGGAGCCUAGCUGAUGACAGCUAAAUAGUAUAAUUAAGAAGCUCUUGUUUAUUUGCAUUUUAGACCAAAAGUGUAAUGUUGGAUUAGAACUAGGCAUUUUAUAAUCCAGUACUGGUGAAUGUACCAUUUUUAUGAUCAAGUACUGGUGAGUUGUUGAUUGCACAAAACAAAAUAUGUAAAUAAUUUUAAAUACCUGCAUCAAAACCACCAGCCCUUUAUAUUUACCAACAGAUAAAUUUUACUUCAUCAGAUUAAGAUAAUAGACCCUUUAUUUUUAGCCAGUAUAUUUAUGGAUGGUUAAGUGAAAGUAAAAUACGGGAGUAUAUUAAGAGCUCCAGAGUCUUGGGUUCAGCUCUGUAGUUUCUGUGGCUGCUGAAGAGGUGGUCAGGAAUAUAGGAACCCCCUGCUGGGCUCCUGGUCACUUCUGUCUGCUCCAUGGCAGGAAGCCUUCAGCACAAGACAUCAAGGCAAGCUUGAAUAAGAAAAACAAUUUCUUCUUCCUAAGCCAUGUCAUAUCAGUUAUACAGAAGUACUACUUUGGGAAACAGUCUUCAGGAGAGCCUAGAUGAGCUCAUACAAUCUCAGCAGUUCACUCAACUUGCCCUUCAAGUUUUACUUCAGUUUGAUAAGGCUAUAAACGCAUCAUUUUGGCUCAGAGGGUUAGGAACAGAGUUGAUUUCAGUGGCUCUCUAAAUACAUACAGAUUCUGCCAUAUAUUCUGUGAUAAUAUGUAGACUUUUAUAUUCAAUGAUAUUGAAUUACAAAAGGUGAUAGAACUUAUUAAAGUGGAUAAAGUGAAAAUUAUGGCCUGUGAUGAUAAAAAUACUGGCUGUAAUACUACCGAAUGAAUAGGAAAAAAAUCACGUUUUUAUGACAUCUUCUGUUACUAUUCAUCACUUUUGAAGAGAAAUGUAAAAAUUUUUUUAUUCUAGCAUUGCAGAAAUUACAUUGUGUUAUUUUGGUAUUUCGGUAGUUUUCAGUAGUAUUCAGAGUAUUUCAGUAGAAAGAAAUUUAAAACUCUAUAGCCUCUUAUAUUACCUUUAUUAUACAGCAUGAAAAAAACAUGAGACAGGAUCUCACUCUGUCACCCAGGCUGGAGUGCAGUAGUGCCAUCUCAGCUCACUGCAGCCUCUACCUGCUGGACUCAGUCAGU
Non-coding RNA from Macaca mulatta (Rhesus monkey), 4543 nucleotides. The record is from RefSeq and is a predicted model, not a curated record. Lineage: Eukaryota; Metazoa; Chordata; Mammalia; Primates; Cercopithecidae.